Molecule: long non-coding RNA, 3284 nt
Filed under: Podarcis lilfordi (Lilford's wall lizard)
Lineage: Eukaryota; Metazoa; Chordata; Lepidosauria; Squamata; Lacertidae
Source: RNAcentral
AAUGAAUAGGAUGUUCCAACAGAACUGACCUGAUACAAAGAGAAUACAAAACAAAGGUUGUGAAUACCACCAAAUGAAGCUAUGUUUCACCGGGACCUGCCACCCCUAUGAAGGAUUUGACAUAUAAACAUAAUCUGAAUCUCUUGUUGCUAUAAUCAUUCACAGGGAUUCCCAAAUGCUGCCCCUCCAUCAAGUCUAAAUGGAAGAAUCCAAAUAUGUCUAGUGAAAAAUAAAAUAGGAAACAGGAUACUUGUGAGAAGAUGGGGUAGCAAAGCAUGCUGGAUGUGAUGGAAAUGAAAUGAAACUAAUAAAGGAUAAUUUAUCCAUAAAGCUAAUAAGUGAAACCUAACAAAAGACAAUUUGGGUUUAAUUUGUUUAGUUAUACAUUGGAAAACAAGUAAAUUUCAAUUGUGGGAAACAGGAUCCUUGUUUGUGAGAAGAAGGGGCAGCAAAGCAUGCUGGGAAGAAGGACGUGAGGGAAAUGAAACCUAAUAAAGGGUAAUUUAUCAAUAAAGCUAAUAUGUGAAACCGAACAAAAGACACCUUGGGAUUGAUUUAUUUGGUUAUACACUGGAAAAAACGGUUAAAUUUCAAAUUAAUCCAAAACCACAGUUUGGGGCAUGCUGGGAAUUGUCCGUUGGCCUGAGGGAGCUGGCAGUGCAUGCUGGGAACUAGACUGCAACUGCCACCGCUCAGCAGCCUGGACGGCGCCCACGGCGGAGGCUGGCGGGAGUCGCAGGGCCUUUUGAGGGUGGCCCCUUCCCCUCCUCGUCCGCCAGGGACACCAGCGCCUGCAGCCCGUCCAGCUGCACUCUGCACGCUCUCAGAGGCCAGAGAGGCUGGCAGGGGCAGGGCCCCCAGGAGGGAGAGGGGCCCCGGGGGGAUUUGCACUCUGCACGCCCUCAGAGGCCGGAGAGGCUGGCAGGGGCAGGGCCCCCAGGUGAGCCCGGGAGAGAGAGGGGCCCCUGGGGGGAUUUGCACUCUGCACGCCCUCAGAGGCUUCGUAGUCUAAGCUCAGGGGGCUGUCUGAGCCGGCAUCUCUCUGGGGGAUGAGGGGUUUCUUCCCAUUGGUGAACAUCCUUCUUAAAUUGUGGUGCCCAGAACUGGACACAGUAUUCCAGGUGGCGUCUGACCAAGGGAGAAUGGAGCUCAGUCUUGUAAGCCACUGGGAUUAGUAGCAAUAUAAGUAAUAAUCACAAUAAGAAAGAUAGCAAUAUUAGACUUGGUUAACAAAUGUUUUUAAGAACAGUGUUCACACAUAUUUAUACUGCUUAACUGUGUGUGCAUUGCAAUCACUUAUUCAUUGUUGUGAGUAGUAAUUUUAAGUGCAUUCUUAAUAUUACAAUCAAGGUGCAAUACUGUUAAAAUGCAUAAUUAUUUUAAAUAUAAACACAGAAAUAAAUGAAGCUCCAAAUUCAUCGGAUGAUGACCUGUGCCACAAACCGGGAACCAGGCAGAGGGCCUUCUUGGUGGUGGCGCCCGCCCUGUGGAACGCCCUCCCAGCAGAUGUCAAGGAAGUAAACAACUACCUGACUUUUAGAAGACAUCUGAAGGUAGCCCUGUUCAGGGAAGUUUGUAAUGUUUGAUGUAUUUUUCGUGUUUUUAAUAUUCUAUUGGGAGCCACCCUGAGUGGCUGGGGAAACCAAGCCAGAUGGUGGGGUAUAAAUAAAUUGUUGUUGUUGUUACACUAGAUUUAAUGAACACUCAUAUCAGAGUGCCCUGGAAAUUGAGAGCCAUAGUCUUUUAUAUACUAACCUUUUAUGCUCUUCCACAUCCGUUUAAUGCUCCGAAACCCCUCUUUUAGCUUCUUUUAGACUUUUAUGUAUACUUUGUGUUUUAAUAUUUUUUAGCUUUACGUUUUACAGAUUGGAAAUGACUGUACCCCACCCUACUGAUGCUGGUCUACUACCGUAAUAAAGAUUUGAUUGAUUGAAAUGAAAAAUCCUACAGUAAUGCUGUGAUUGGACACCGAAAUAAUAUAAUACAGGGUGAUUCAUAAUGAAAUAUACAGUUUCCAGAUCCUGUAAGACAGGCGCCGACACGGAAAACAGCUGCGAACCGUGAGGUAGAUGUACUCAUAAAGUGAUGGAGGUGAUAGUGCGCGUGUCACGUGAAAUGGCUGCGUCUGCAGUGGAGAAGACGUUUUGUGUUCUUGAAUUGAGCAAAAUGGAGUUUGUUGUGCAACGGCAUUUGCAAUUGCGAUGUGUAUUGUGUGACAAACGGUGCAUACAUAGAACAUCUGUGACUGUUUCAAAACUACUUUAAACAUUCCCCUACAAUUCUGUCACAGGUAACAUGAGAUAUAUUAUAUUCUUUUUUAUAGUGUGUUGAGGCUUCCAGGUGGAAAAAUCAAAAUUAGAAACUGAACUGUUAGAACCCAAAACUAAGAAUUUGUCAAGAAUGUAUAACUUGCUGCUGAAAUGGAACACUCAGGAUGAAACGGUGAAAUCUGCUAUGAUUAAAUGGGCACAAGACGUUGGACACAACAUUAUGUUCGCUGACUGGGAACAGUUAUGGACCACAGGUAUGAAAUUUACGGCAUGUAAUGCCCUAAGAGAGAAUAUUAUGAAAAUGAUAUACAGGUGGUACAUAACCCCAGUCAAGCUUGCAAAAAUCUAUCAUUUGCCCGAUAAUAAAUGUUGGAAAUGUAAAGAAAUUGAAGGUACAUUUUUUCACCUUUGGUGGACGUGCCCUAAGAUUAAGGCUUUCUGGGAAAUGAUAUAUAAUGAAUUAAAAAAGGUAUUUAAAUAUACCUUCCUGAAGAAAGCAGAGGCCUUUCUCCUGGGCAUAGUCGGCCAAACGGUGUUAAAAAAGGAUAGAACUUUCUUUAUGUAUGCAACAACAGCAGCAAGAAUACUCAUCGCAAAAUAUUGGAAGACACAAGAGCUCCCCACACUGGAGGAAUGGCAGAUGAAACUGAUGGACUAUAUGGAACUGGCGGAAAUGACUGGCAGAAUCCGUGACCAGGGAGAAGAGUCGGUGGAAGAAGAUUGGAAGAAAUUCAAAGAUUAUUUACAGAAAUACUGCAAAAUUAAUGAAUGUUAGAGUGAUGUUGGAUUGAAAUUAAAUGGUUUCUAGCUAUACAGGCUUUAAAGUUAUAUAUAGAUUAAGAUUAAGGAUUAGGAAUAAAAAGGUUAAAAGAAUGGAAAAUUGGCUAUUAAUAGAUAAAAAUUUAAUGUUAUAUUAUAUUAAGAUUAAGGAUUGGGAUUAAAAAAGAGGGAAAGGAAUUGCUGGACAAAUAAACUAAAUUGGAAUACAAAAGAGGGAGGUAUGAGGAGGUCCAG